Molecule: RNA transcript, 1320 nt
Organism: Trifolium pratense (red clover)
Lineage: Eukaryota; Viridiplantae; Streptophyta; Magnoliopsida; Fabales; Fabaceae
Exons: 5
Source: RefSeq, a predicted model, not a curated record
CGUUCAAUACAUCUCUAACCGGAGAGGAUUAACAACAAAACAACCACUAAUCAAGAGCAAAUCCAAUUCUUAUUACACAGUUUCGUUUUUAUUUUCUGUUCCCUCUUUAUUUUUCUUAACUUUUUUCAUUUCACGGGAAAGGAGUAGUUGAAGACAGAAACACAGUUUUCUCAAAUUUGUUUGCAUUGAAAAUUUAUCAGUAAGAACAGAUCAACAUUUUUUGGAAUCUUCCAAAUCGCAUUUUUGGAAUCUUUCAAAUCUAAUGCGAUCGCACAAUAAGUUGUGGAAGACAUGAAUUGGGUUCAACGAAAGGUCCACCUUUACAAUGUGACUUUUGGGCUUUAUAUGUUGGAUUGGUGGGAGCGUUGUUCAUUCAAUAUUUUGGUGAUUGUACUAAUGUGUUUUGUAGUACGGUAUAUUACACAGUUCUUCAAGAGAUAUAUGUAUUGUGUAAUACUGCAUAGAAUGUUUAAUAUGAAUGGGAAUGGAUUCUCUCUAAAGUGACAUGAGAAUCCAUUUAAAUCCUCACCUACUAUGAUAAAGAAGAGAAAAAGAAAACAUGAGAACAAAACACAGAGAGGAUCUUUUUCCGUCGAUAAGUCAGAGAUAUAAUUUUUUACACUUAUGUAAACUUAUACAAGCCAAAAAAAUCAAUUGAACUGCUCCAGAGCACAUUCUUGGCCUUCAUUUUAGCUAAUGUAAAAUCUUUUGCAUCACAACAUGGCAUUCUAUGAGCCUUUCGUUAGAAUUUGUGGUGCGGGCUUGCUGCAAGAGAACUUUGAACAGUGAAGAAGUUGAUGGAGAAUGCACUUAGAAACCUCCAAAGCGUGUGUUUCCACUCUAACCUUUAGGUAUAUUCUGUGCAUUAUUUAGAAGCAAAAUCAUUUGCAUAUGAAGAUGCCUAUGUAGAUCUUCACUUGAGGGUUUAAUUUAGUUGCAGUUGGUGUGUCUGGCAUAGCUGAUGCUGACUAGAAAGUGUCUUGUAGCAGUGUGAUAUGGACCAAUUUGAGAGUUUCUUAGAUGUGUGAUACUGUCACCAAUCUCAUUCAAACUAUUUAUUUUGCUUAUAAGCUUGUUUUAGGUGUCAAUUGGUAUUUUUUUACAUUGUAAUUAUUAUUGGUAAUGUUCAUUAUUAAGUGUUUUGAUAAUUUGAAAUUAUUAGCAGAUUCAAUGUAAACUAAUGUUUGGAUUUUGGUUGUAAGAAUUGUCUACAUUUAAUGUUAUAGUGUCUCGAAUAGGUUUUCCUCCUAUUGAAGGAACCUAUGCGGAUGAGAAAGAAAAAAAUGUUAAAUGGGAAAGGUUGGAUCAAUUUGGCGAUUA